Molecule: RNA transcript, 4572 nt
Organism: Brassica rapa (field mustard)
Lineage: Eukaryota; Viridiplantae; Streptophyta; Magnoliopsida; Brassicales; Brassicaceae
Gene name: putative cysteine-rich receptor-like protein kinase 39
Source: RefSeq, a predicted model, not a curated record
GGCUUGGAAGAAGAAAGCAAGCUUACAAGGAGCACUCAGUCAAAGGCGACCAAGCGAACUUGGGAAGUCGCUAAUACACCCCAAGCCGCAAAAAGUGAAGGAGGCGCAACUUGCCAUAGGUGUAAUAAGAAAGGACACCACGUAAAGGAUUGUAGAUUCCCACCGAAUGUUCGAUGUUACCGUUGUAACAGAGAAGGACAUACUUCGAAUGCAUGUCGUAUGCCAGCGCAGGGAGCACCGCAGCAGGGAGCACCGCAGCAGGGAGCUGGGCGCAACGAGCAGUUACCGCCACCACCAAAAAGACAAGAUGUGGCUGGACGAGCCUUCGUAGUCGGGGACCACGAAGGAGGAGAACCGAUCGUUGGUAUGUUUCCUAUACCUACUUGUCUAGAUGUUUACUUAUAAUUCUUGUUUGGUCCAAGUAUAGUAGACUUAGACAUAGUUCAAAUUGUGUAGGAUCGGUUUUAGUUGGGGGAAUAAAUGCCCAUGCUUUAUUUGAUACUGGCGCAACACAUAGUUUUGUGUCUCCCACUUUGACAAAGUGUUGGACCUUUGAGGGCAUGUUCGUUUCGAACGCCAAAGGAAUAGAAACCGCAGGGACCGAGUUAAUGAGGUCUACUGGAACGUAUGAGGAUGUCCCCAUCGUCAUAGAAGGCAUUGAGCUUAAAGGAAAUUUGGUGGAAAUGGAGUUAAACCACUACGAGGUGAUCUUAGGCAUGGAUUGGUUGACAUAUCACAAGGCCGUGAUGGAUUGCCCAAAGACGCGUGUCUACAUCCCUAGGACUGAAGGGAGAAUAGUUUUCCAAGGGAUAAAGAGAAGUACGGGAAUCCCCAUCAUAUCCAUGAUGCAAGCAGAAGAGUUAUUGGAGAAAGGAAGUGAAGCUUAUCUCGCCACUAUCAACAUCAAGGGAUCAGAUAAGGAAGCCGACUUAGACACCAUUCCGGUUGUAGCCGAGUAUACCGAUGUUUUUGAACCGUUGACAGGACCGCCACCAACGCGAGGUGAUGCGUUUACUAUAGAAUUAGAACCUGGUACGGCACCAGUAUCAAAGGCACCGUAUCGCUUGGCACCAGCAGAAAUGGCUGAGUUGAAGAAGCAGCUGGAGGAUCUAAUGGAUAAGGGGUUCAUUAGACCAAGUAGCUCACCAUGGGGAGCGCCUGUCCUGUUUGUCAAGAAGAAGGACGGAAGUUUUAGACUUUGCAUCGAUUAUUGUGGAUUGAACAAAGUGACGAUAAAGAACAAGUACCCUCUACCAAGAAUCGACGAGUUGUUGGACCAACUUCAAGGAGCGUCAUGGUUCUCAAAGAUAGAUUUGGCAUCUGGGUAUCACCAAAUCUCGAUAGCGGAGGAAGACAUAAGGAAGACGGCCUUCCGGACACGUUAUGGGCACUAUGAGUUCGUAGUAAUGCCAUUUGGACUUACUAACGCACCGGCAGCGUUUAUGAAGAUGAUGAACAAUGUGUUUCGGGAAUACUUGGACAAGUGUGUGAUUGUGUUCAUCGACGACAUUUUGGUAUACUCUAAGAGUAAAGGAGAGCAUGAUUGGCAUCUAAGAGUAGUAUUGAACAAGUUGCGAGAGCAGCAGUUGUACGCAAAGUCAAGCAAGUGUAGCUUUUGGCAGCGAGAGAUUGGGUUUUUGGGGCAUAUUGUAUCCGAAGCCGGAGUGGCUGUGGAUCCAGAGAAAAUUGUCGCCAUUACAAAGUGGCCUACACCUGGAAGUGCUACUGAGGUCCGUAGUUUCCUUGGACUGGCAGGAUACUAUAGGAAGUAUGUGAAGGGAUUUGCAAGUACUGCUAAACCCAUGACAAUGUUAACGGGAAAUGAUGUGAAGUUUGUGUGGUCAGACGCUUGUACUAAGAGUUUUGAAAGGCUGAAGGAACAACUAACCCAAACUCCAGUAUUGGUAUUACCAAGGCCAGGUGUACCAUACACGGUUUAUACGGAUGCUUCUGGAACGGGACUAGGAUGUGUGCUUAUGCAAGAGAAGCAAGUGGUCGCUUAUGCAUCAAGACAACUGAGACCGCAUGAGGUCAAUUAUCCGACUCAUGAUUUGGAGUUAGGUGCAGUUGUGUUUGCCCUUAAGAUUUGGAGGUAUUAUCUCUAUGGAGAGAAGGUGCAAGUGUUCACGGAUCACAAAAGUUUGAAGUACAUAUUUACCCAAGGAGACCUGAACCUGAGACAACGCAGAUGGAUAGAGUUAUUAGCAGACUAUAAUCUAGAUAUCGUCUACCACCCAGGAAAAGCAAACCAAGUGGCCGACGCCCUCAGCAGACGUAAGGUCGACGUCUCGGAGGCAAAAGAGGUGCAAGAGUUGGUUGCUACUUUGGCUAGUUUACGGUUAUGUGCUACUACUGUUGAGGAUAGGACAGCUGCAUUGGAUGCCUUAGAUCAAGCAGAUUUGUUAGAAAGGAUUAGUAAAUCUCAACAAGGAGAUGAGUCAUUGCAGAGACUGAUUUCAAAAGAGGUUGUUGGAUAUCGCACCACCACAAAUGGAACUUAUCUAUUCAAAAAUAGGGUGUGUGUGCCGAAUAGUAAGGAUCUGAAGGACGAGAUCUUGAGACAGGCGCACAACUCUCAGUUUUCUAUCCAUCCAGGAAGCACCAAGAUGUAUCAGGACUUGAAACGCUAUUACCAUUGGGAAGGUAUGAAGCGGGAUGUUGCUACUUGGACUUCGCAGUGUCAGACUUGCCAGAUGGUUAAAGCAGAAAGACAAUUACCAAGCGGGCUUUUACAAGAGUUACCACUACCCGAAUGGCAGUGGGAUAUGGUGACAAUGGAUUUUGUUACUGGGCUACCAAUAACAACUGGGAAUAAGGACGCGAUUUGGGUGAUUGUGGAUAGACUCACCAAAUCUGCACAUUUUCUAGCUAUCAAGAAAACUGAUGGAGCAGAUCGUUUAGCGCAAAAGUAUCUGGAAACUGUGGUACGAUUGCAUGGAGUGCCAGUAAGUAUCGUAUCAGACCGUGAUCCAAAGUUUACUUCGGCAUUCUGGCAGGCAUUUCAGAAGGCACUAGGUACAAAGGUACACCUUAGCACGGCUUAUCAUCCACAGACCGAUGGACAGUCUGAGCGGACGAUACAGACGCUUGAGGACAUGCUAAGAGCCUGUGUACUUGAUUGGGCAGGAAAAUGGGGCCAAUUUCUACCAUUGGCAGAGUUUGCUUACAACAAUAGUUACCAUUCGAGCAUUGGGAUGUCUCCAUAUGAGGCUCUAUAUGGGAGACCAUGUCGAACUCCAUUAUGUUGGACAGAAGUGGGGGAGAGACGAGAUUUAGAGCCGGACAUGGUUAAGGAAACCAUAGAACAGGUGGAAUUGCUUAAGUCUAGACUGAAAGAGGCUCACGAUCGGCACAAGAGUUAUGCUGACCAGAGGAGAAAAGCUUUGGAGUUUGAAGUAGGAGAUGAAGUAUACUUGAAAAUGAGAACCUACCGAGGAACAGCCGAGUACCGCAAGUUGAAAAAGUUGAAGCCAAGAUUUUUAGGACCGUAUCGCAUCAUUGAGAGGAUUGGAGCAGUAGCAUAUCGACUUGAGUUACCGCAUGAGUUAUCGGAUAUCCACAAUGUGUUUCAUGUGUCAGUUCUAAGGAAAGUUGUUCGAGAACCAGAGUUGAUUUUACAGCAGCCACCAGAAGAUGUUAGUCGCAAUUUAACAGCUCAAAGCAAACCAGUUAAAGUCUUAGAGAUUAAAGACAUGGAUGUCCAAGGGAAAGUGACCACGAUGAUCCGUGUGAGCUGGGAAAGAGAUGGAAUAUGUGAGGAGACUUGGGAGCCAGAGUCACAGAUGAGAUCGUUUUAUCCAGAGUUGUUUCCGAGUGAUGAGGUACUAGAGGAGGUUUGCGUGAAUUCGGGGGCGAAUUCUUGUUUAGUGGGGGAGAGUUGUCACAUCCCGGGCCCGAGCCCAAUUUUUAGUGACAAGGCCCGUGAUGAUUUGGUCCAUGUAGAGAAAACCCUAGGGUUUUCCCCUUCCUCUUCUAUAAAAAGGAGGCAGCCCCUUAGGUUUUCUCCAGAGACUCAAAACCUAGCGAAGCCCUGCCCAGUUGGAGAGAGAGCAGCCGCCGGCCACCAAACCACCACCGGAGCCACCGCGAGUCACCGGAGCACCGCCGGCGACCGUGUAAUCUCACCGGAGAGGAGAUCUCGCCGUGUUUCGAUCCCUUCUCGUCGUUUUCUUGAGUCUUCUACUAUUUUUCUUCUAGAUCCAGCAACUGGUGAGGGUAAGGAAACCCUAAUCACUCUCUUUAGAUCUCUCAUAUCUCUUUCUUCUUCUUGAUCUCUGAUCUAGGGUUUGGGUGGAAACCAACUCUUGUUCUUGUAGAUCUGGUUAGUAAGGAUCUAUAGAACUCAGAUCUACAUCAACUCUCAUAUCAUCUCGCAGAUCUAGGCUAAGGUGAGUUCGAGGAAGUGCAGGAGUGAUCGUCUCGGUGUGGUGCUGGUUUUCGGGUGUUUGGUUUUCUUUAAGUUGUUUUAUUUUAAGACUUGGUGAUUUGGUUUUAAGCGUUUCCUAUUCGUUUUAGUACGUUUUUGUAAAACAUUUGAAUUCGAUCCUUGGGAAUGAGAUUUGCAUUGGCCUA